RNAcentral lists this small RNA (27 nucleotides) under Bombyx mori (domestic silkworm). RNAcentral describes it as "ovarian small RNA-20158". The record is from RNAcentral. Lineage: Eukaryota; Metazoa; Arthropoda; Insecta; Lepidoptera; Bombycidae.
UACAAUGUUUGUAUUUGAAGUCCUUGA